GCGGAUUUAGCUCAGUGGUAGAGCGCUUGCCUGGCAAGCGCAAGGCCCUGGGUUCGGUCCCCAGCUCCGUA
This is a non-coding RNA of Rattus norvegicus (Norway rat), 71 nucleotides long. The record is from Rfam. NCBI's taxonomy places the organism in Eukaryota, Metazoa, Chordata, Mammalia, Rodentia, Muridae.